This 447-nucleotide ribosomal RNA is filed under the name uncultured bacterium. Its description in RNAcentral is "bacterial SSU rRNA". It matches the Rfam family "Bacterial small subunit ribosomal RNA", at positions 355 to 825 of the family's 1533-position model. The record is from RNAcentral.
UGGGGAAUAUUGGACAAUGGGCGAAAGCCUGAUCCAGCCAUGCCGCGUGAGUGACGAAGGCCUUAGGGUUGUAAAACUCUUUCGUCGGGGACGAUAAUGACGGUACCCGAAGAAGAAGCUCCGGCUAACUUCGUGCCAGCAGCCGCGGUAAUACGAAGGGAGCUAGCGUUGUUCGGAAUCACUGGGCGUAAAGCGCAUGUAGGCGGAUAGUUAAGUCAGGGGUGAAAUCCUGGGGCUCAACCCCAGAACUGCCUUUGAUACUGGCUGUCUCGAGGUCGAGAGAGGUUGGUGGAAUUCCUAGUGUAGAGGUGAAAUUCGUAGAUAUUAGGAAGAACACCAGUGGCGAAGGCGGCUCACUGGCCCGAUACUGACGCUGAGGUGCGAAAGCGUGGGGAGCAAACAGGAUUAGAUACCCCAGUAGUCCCUGAGCGGGCUGGCAAGGCGCAU